GUAGGGUGCAAGCGUUAAUCGGAAUUACUGGGCGUAAAGCGUGCGCAGGCGGUUUUGUAAGUUUGUCGUGAAAUCCCCGGGCUCAACCUGGGAAUUGCGAUGAAGACUGCAAGGCUAGAAUCUGGCAGAGGGGGGUAGAAUUCCACGUGUAGCAGUGAAAUGCGUAGAGAUGUGGAGGAACACCGAUGGCGAAGGCAGCCCCCUGGGUCAAGAUUGACGCUCAUGCACGAAAGCGUGGGGAGCAAACAGGAUUAGAUACCCUGGUAGUCCACGCCCUAAACGAUGUCUACUAGUUGUCGGGUUUUAAUUAACUUGGUAACGCAGCUAACGCGUGAAGUAGACCGCCUGGGGAGUACGGUCGCAAGAUUA
This 369-nucleotide ribosomal RNA is filed under the name uncultured bacterium. RNAcentral's name for it is "bacterial SSU rRNA". It matches the Rfam family "Bacterial small subunit ribosomal RNA", at positions 527 to 896 of the family's 1533-position model. The record is from RNAcentral.